UUUCAAUGGCAGUCAAGCAUAAUAAGCAAAAAAAAAGUUUUGCCGUAUUAUUUAAAAAGUUUAAAAUGCAGAAAACAAUUAUUUUGGACCAUCCAAAUAAUUAUAUUGGACGCUCAAGCUGAUUGUUAAAAAAUCGAAACUUUUUACAAUACAUAUUUCAGCGCCCUACAUAAUUGUUUUAAUGAUUCAUAACACAAUUAUUUGCAAGUUUUUAUCUAGCCUGCCUUUUAUAUAUUUCAGUAAACCGUUCUUUCUGUGUAUAUUAAAUUUUAAAUUAAUUUGAAUUUUACUCAUUUCGGUCGGUAUAAUACGCGAGUCGUUGAAUCUCUGAUAAUGCAAAUAUAGAAGUCGAUAAUUUAUUAAUUUAUAUACUUGAAGUAUCAUUUAAUCUACGUUGGAAAUGUAUAAUGUAAAAAUCAAUUAUGAGUGUAUGUUAUCGAUUGCAUGAUCAAUCGUGUUUUUUUAUUAAUUAUGAAUUCGAUUUGCGUUGCACUAUCUGAAGUUGUCGACGUCACUUCCUUCUCCGUCUCGUCAUCAUUUACUAACGUAACAUCGCGCGGGAGUGAAUCGUCUCCGAGUUGAGUCGCGCCGCGAAAUAUUUAAUUAGUGAAUUCAGUCAUUGUUAACUCCGUAUCUAAUCGCGUCUUCGAAUGCGAUUAUCGCGUAGCACUAUAUUAAACAGAAUUCACACAGAUUGUUUGUUAAAAGGCACGAUUCCGCGAGAUUCAUUCCGUCGAAAUUCAUCGCGCGGGCAACAGACGAUUAAUCUUCGAAAAUGCCUUUCCCGGGUAUCUCUCGUCCUAAUUACAUUUGCGUUACAAUGCGGACAAGUAAUCGCAAUGAAACGCGAGAAUUCGAAGUGCGGUAAGUAUGCAACACGCAGCUAGGAACAUUCAGGUUACAACAACGCCGCGCCGUGUUGCUCGUGGAGCGCGUGAAGUUUGCCGCGGAACCUUGGAAUUCUCUUCACCACGGCGGUGCGACGUUCGUUCGCUCCUUCCGAAUUCGCGAAUGUCGAGUGAAUUCGUUCUGAUGAAAUCGCGUAUCGCGUAAUCUUUCACGUUGAUCAUUCUGCUCGAUGUAGUAAAGUGCGCGUCGCGUUUGAUUAACGUCGUAAGUGCCAUACGAAAUGCUAGAGCAUCGUAUUUUGGGGAUGCGCGGUCGGUUAAGGUUAACCGUGUUUUCGCGAGUGUACUAUACAUACAUACACGAGUGCCAUGGAGGGGCAAGAGAGGAGGAGGAAGGCUCGGAGAAGCAUCGAGCGACAGUGGAGAGCAGCCACGAUUCAAUGCAAAACCAUCGGUGUGCAUCGUACUGAAUUUGGAAGGAGAAUAUCAACAGUAGCAGCAGCAGCAGCAGCAGCAGC
This is a long non-coding RNA of Solenopsis invicta (red fire ant), 1366 nucleotides long. RefSeq lists it as uncharacterized. The transcript has 3 exons. Lineage: Eukaryota; Metazoa; Arthropoda; Insecta; Hymenoptera; Formicidae. The record is from RefSeq and is a predicted model, not a curated record.